UACGGAGGGCGCUAGCGUUGUUCGGAAUUACUGGGCGUUAAGCGCACGUAGGCGGCUUUGUAAGUUAGAGGUGAAAGCCCGGGGCUCAACCCCGGAAUUGCCUUUAAGACUGCAUCGCUUGAAUCCGGGAGAGGUGAGUGGAAUUCCGAGUGUAGAGGUGAAAUUCGUAGAUAUUCGGAAGAACACCAGUGGCGAAGGCGGCUCACUGGACCGGUAUUGACGCUGAGGUGCGAAAGCGUGGGGAGCAAACAGG
This 253-nucleotide ribosomal RNA is filed under the name uncultured bacterium. Its description in RNAcentral is "partial 16S ribosomal RNA". It matches the Rfam family "Bacterial small subunit ribosomal RNA", at positions 524 to 776 of the family's 1533-position model. The record is from RNAcentral.